CGUGCCUAAUACAUGCAAGUCGAACGCAUUGUGGUUGAAAUGAUAUGAAGAACUUGUUCAGAUUUGAUUUUCAACAUUGCAAUGAGUGGCGAACGGGUGAGUAACACGUGGGAAACCUACCUCUUAGCAGGGAUAACAUUUGGAAACAAAUGCUAAUACCGUAUAAUAAUUAAAACCGCAUGGUUUUAGUUUAAAAGAUGGUCUUGCUAUCACUAAGAGAUGGUCCCGCGGUGUAUUAGUUAGUUGGUGAGGUAAUGGCUCACCAAGACAAUGAUACAUAGCCGAGUUGAGAGACUGACCGGCCACAAUGGGACUGAGACACGGCCCAUACUCCUACGGGAGGCAGCAGUAGGGAAUCUUCCACAAUGGACGAAAGUCUGAUGGAGCAACGCCGCGUGUGUGAUGAAGGGUUUCGGCUCGUAAAACACUGUUGUAAGAGAAGAAUGACAUUGAGAGUAACUGUUCAAUGUGUGACGGUAUCUUACCAGAAAGGAACGGCUAAAUACGUG
RNAcentral lists this ribosomal RNA (509 nucleotides) under uncultured bacterium. RNAcentral describes it as "bacterial SSU rRNA". It matches the Rfam family "Bacterial small subunit ribosomal RNA", at positions 43 to 507 of the family's 1533-position model. The record is from RNAcentral.